Molecule: ribosomal RNA, 660 nt
Filed under: uncultured fungus
Lineage: Eukaryota; Fungi
Description: eukaryotic LSU rRNA
Rfam family: Eukaryotic large subunit ribosomal RNA
Source: RNAcentral
CCCGCUGAACUUAAGCAUAUCAAUAAGCGGAGGAAAAGAAACUAACAAGGAUUCCCCUAGUAACUGCGAGUGAAGCGGGAAGAGCUCAAAUUUAAAAUCUGGCGUGCCUCUGGCCGUCCGAGUUGUAGUCUGGAGAAGCGUUUUCCGUGUUGGACCGUGUAUAAGUCUCUUGGAACAGGGCGUCAUAGAGGGUGAGAAUCCCGUCUUUGACACGGACUACCAAUGCUUUUGUGAUGCGCUCUCAAAGAGUCGAGUUGUUUGGGAAUGCAGCUCAAAACGGGUGGUAAAUUCCAUCUAAAGCUAAAUAUAGGCGAGAGACCGAUAGCGAACAAGUACCGUGAGGGAAAGAUGAAAAGCACUUUGGAAAGAGAGUUAAACAGUACGUGAAAUUGCUGAAAGGGAAACGCUUGAAGUCAGUCGCGUCUGCCAGGACUCAGCCUUGCUCCUGCUUGGUGCACUUUCUGGUUUGAUGGGCCAACAUCAAUUUUGACCGUUGGAGAAAGGCUUUGGGAAUGUAGCACCUUCGGGUGUGUUAUAGCCCUUUGUUGUAUACAACGGUUGGGAUUGAGGACCGCAGCACGCCUUCAUGGCCGGGGUUCGCCCACGUACGUGCUUAGGAUGUUGGCAUAAUGGCUUUAAGCGACCCGUCUUGAAACACGG